This 497-nucleotide ribosomal RNA is filed under the name uncultured bacterium. RNAcentral describes it as "partial 16S ribosomal RNA". It matches the Rfam family "Bacterial small subunit ribosomal RNA", at positions 27 to 507 of the family's 1533-position model. The record is from RNAcentral.
GGGGGGGGGGGGGGGGGGGGCGGGGGGGGGGAGGGGGGGGGAGCGGGCGGGGAGCUGGCGCCUCUGACGGUAGCGGCGGACGGGUGGGGAACACGGGGAUAACCUGCCUAUAAGACUGGGAUAACUUCGGGCAACCGGAGCUAAUACCGGAUAAUAUAUUGAACCGCAUGGUUCAAUAGUGAAAGACGGUUUUGCUGUCACUUAUAGAUGGAUCCGCGCCGCAUUAGCUAGUUGGUAAGGUAACGGCUUACCAAGGCAACGAUGCGUAGCCGACCUGAGAGGGUGAUCGGCCACACUGGAACUGAGACACGGUCCAGACUCCUACGGGAGGCAGCAGUAGGGAAUCUUCCGCAAUGGGCGAAAGCUUGACGGAGCAACGCCGCGUGAGUGAUGAAGGUCUUCGGAUCGUAAAACUCUGUUAUUAGGGAAGAACAAAUGUGUAAGUAACUAUGCACGUCUUGACGGUACCUAAUCAGAAAGCCACGGCUAACUACGUG